GGGGCCAUAGCUCAGCUGGGAGAGCGCCUGCCUUGCACGCAGGAGGUCGACGGUUCGAUCCCGUCUGGCUCCACCA
This 76-nucleotide transfer RNA is filed under the name Flavobacterium sp. RNAcentral's name for it is "tRNA-Ala". It matches the Rfam family "tRNA". Rfam says of the family: Transfer RNA (tRNA) molecules are approximately 80 nucleotides in length. The record is from RNAcentral. Lineage: Bacteria; Pseudomonadati; Bacteroidota; Flavobacteriia; Flavobacteriales; Flavobacteriaceae. RNAcentral also lists the same sequence under 5 other names.